UGUGUCUGUGUGUGUGUGUGUGUGUGUGUGUGUGUGUGUGUGUGUGUGUGUGUUUACAGGGCACCGGUGGAGGAAAUAUUAAGAUCAUUUACUUAUAGACCCCUUAUAGAAGAAAUUUACAGACCCCGCUUAAGUAAAAGUACCAUAAAACAACACGAAAUGAAAAUGUAAGUAUUGUUGACAAAAUGUAUCAAAAAUGUACAGAUUAAAUGUGUUACUUUCCAUUGCUUAAAGAGUAUUACUCAGUCCAUAUUUACCUUAACUCACACACACAUAAACCCAUGCGUAUACACACAAUCAGAGGACCCUUGAACUUCGCAGGCUAUGUCAGACUCGCUCUCCUCAGACAGUCUGUCUCCAGCGAGGCCUGGACUGGCAGAGCAGAGCAGAGCAUGAUUGGCCCCUGGUUGGCCCCUCUCUGCCCAGCCAUCAACCCUAAUCCCUUGGCUUUACGAACUGCAGGCCAGGGCAGCCUGCCAAAUCCUCCCCUGCUCCUUCUCUCCGCACUGCAGUUAGGACAUGCUAAGCUGAGCCCUCCACUGUACCCGCUCCAUCUCCACAAGCGCAUUUUCCAUACAUCACCCAUGAUUCUCUGCAGAUCAAAUACACUGCAUUCUCCUUCCCCCUCUGUGUCUCCUCCUUUUUCUCUGUGCCCCUCCCCCCAAGUUCUCACCAUCCCAAGGAAAUGAGCCAGAAGAUAAGGGUUAAGUGAUCAGAAUAUAUGCAGCAACACAUGGGAGACACUCGUUGUCUGUGUGAUGACACAAUCAUACAAUCAUGAGCACUGAAAUAGGAGUGAUGGUUGGUUCAUGGAAGCUUUGUUCUCACCCUGAACUGAGAGCUGACUGUGGGCUUGCGUCGGGCCGUGCCCAUCUUUAGGGUCUCGUCUCCACUUCUGCUACCGACGCGCUCAAAGAGGUCGUAGAUGAAGUCAAGCCUGCAGGCGCACAGUGCAGGACAGGGAAAAUGAUUGUAAAAGCUUGUAUAUGAACUCAUAUGAGUCAUACAGGUGUGUGUUCAGCAUGCAGGGGACAAGCAUGUGCUGUGUUUACCUGCUGUCUUUCAGAAUAAACAAAAUGUCAUCUCUGAA
Long non-coding RNA from Micropterus dolomieu (smallmouth bass), 1090 nucleotides. RefSeq lists it as uncharacterized. The record is from RefSeq and is a predicted model, not a curated record. The transcript has 2 exons. NCBI's taxonomy places the organism in Eukaryota, Metazoa, Chordata, Actinopteri, Centrarchiformes, Centrarchidae.